Molecule: ribosomal RNA, 490 nt
Filed under: uncultured bacterium
Lineage: Bacteria
Description: partial 16S ribosomal RNA
Rfam family: Bacterial small subunit ribosomal RNA
Source: RNAcentral
GAUGAACGCUAGCUACAGGCUUAACACAUGCAAGUCGAGGGGAAACGGCAUUGAGUGCUUGCACUCUUUGUAAGUCGACCGGCGCACGGGUGAGUAACGCGUAUCCAACCUUCCCAUUACUGUGGGAUAACCUGCCGAAAGGCAGACUAAUACCGCAUAGUCUUCGAUGACGGCAUCAGAUUUGAAGUAAAGAUUUAUCGGUAAUGGAUGGGGAUGCGUCUGAUUAGCUUGUUGGCGGGGUAACGGCCCACCAAGGCUACGAUCAGUAGGGGUUCUGAGAGGAAGGUCCCGCACUGGAACUGAGACACGGUCCAAGCGCCUAAGGGAGGCAGCAGAGAGGAAUAGUGGGCAAUGGACGGAAGUCUGAACCAGCCAAGUAGAGUGCAGGAUGACGGCCCUAUGGGUUGUAAACUGCUUUUGUAUGGGGAUAAAGUUAGUGACGUGUCACUAUUUGCAGGUACCAUACGAAUAAGGACCGGCUAAUUCCGUG